UAGCCAAGUUGUAAAGACAAGCAGAAUGAAAGCCUCUGCAAACAGCAAUAGAUCAGUGGCAGCUGGUGUGAGCAGACCGAUCCCAUCGCCUUAUUGAUCUCUGUUACAGGGGAUUGACAUUUUUCACCCAGUGCAGGUUCCUUCACUUCUAUUGGAAGAAUGGCCUUUCCUCCAGGUCUGCUGGAAAUCUGUGUUUGAAUCAUGAAAUGCACUUUUCAAUGGACAUGACAUUCUGGUAACUGGAACAGUAACCAUUUACAAAACGAAGUAUGUCUGGCUUGUAGACCCAGCUGGGAAAGGAUCUAAAUGGGGAGCACAUGGAGAGCUGCCGUGGAUGAGGCCAAGCACAGCAGGUAGUUGUGGGGUGGGUUUUGGAGCUUUUCAUAGGAGUUGGGCUUGAUGAUUCUUAUGGGUCC
Molecule: long non-coding RNA, 416 nt
Filed under: Phasianus colchicus (ring-necked pheasant)
Lineage: Eukaryota; Metazoa; Chordata; Aves; Galliformes; Phasianidae
Description: lncRNA (ENSPCLG00000013179.1)
Source: RNAcentral